Long non-coding RNA from Betta splendens (Siamese fighting fish), 1588 nucleotides. RefSeq lists it as uncharacterized. The record is from RefSeq and is a predicted model, not a curated record. The transcript has 2 exons. NCBI's taxonomy places the organism in Eukaryota, Metazoa, Chordata, Actinopteri, Anabantiformes, Osphronemidae.
AAAUUUAAAUUUACUUAGACAUAAUGUCCUCUUAUAAUUUCCUCAUCACUGCUCUCCCAACAAUUACUUUGACAUUUUCUUUUUGUUGCUUCAGCAUCCCUGAACUUGACUACUAUUAUAAUCACUUUUACCAUUGACCCAUCCUCAGUUUGUAAAGUCUGCCCUACACAUAGAUAGACAACCAUCACACACACUCAGACCUACGAGCAAGUUAGAGUGACCAGUGAACCUGAUGCAUGUUUUUGGACCGUGAGAGGAAGCCGCAGAGAACCCACCCGAACAGAUGCAAACUCCACACUGAAACGCACCUGGGGCCCGUUUCAAGAAGGUGGUUUUGUGGAAACUCUGAGUUUGUUAACCCCGAAAUAAGGAAAACUCAGAGUUUUCGGUUUCAGAAAGCGGGGUUACUUAAACCCGUAAAGCGGGGUAAGUUUAAACCCGUUUCAAGAAGCGAGGUAAUGGAAACUCAGAGUCAGUUACUAGCGAGCAGGUUUUAUUCGGGAAACCCAGAGUUUCCUUCGGUCUCCGCCCAUUUUUAAAGUGAACAGUGUUUAAAUACCUCGUUUAAUCUUUCAGUUCAUUCAUAGAUUUCACCUGUUUCCUUCGCGCAGAGACCAAAAUGUCCGUUUCUAGAGGAUCCUGUAGAUGAGGACGAUGUAUAUUAAUUCACACGGCAUUGAAUUUACGCCGCGAGAGGAUUUUGACGCCACGAGUUAAUUUUCUGUCAUAUCGCCGUGCAUAUUUAUUUGAGCGGUACCGUUUUUAUCGAGACUCCAUACAUAUAUUAAUAAUCUUAUUCACCCAUACGUCAAACACAUCACCCAUCGUGACCGCGCUUUUACAUCCGAGCAGAUUCUUUGUGUUGCGUUACGUUUUUUUUUUGCAAACGGUAGUUUUCUUUAUAACAUUUGAGAUGCUGAGCACAUUAGUGAAAUCACUGUAUGUAGAAAAGUUCGACCUCAAGCGCUUUCCUUGACACAAACUCCUUAAAGCCAUUAAAGAGGAGUUUCACAGGAUUGCAGAUCAUAUGUGAUGCUGCACAUAUCAUAAACGUGAACUCAUGAAUAUAUCGUGAUUCAACCUUAAGUAACAGGCUGCACUGUGGUAAGUACAUGUAUGUCCUAUACACUUAUUUCAAUGCAUGCACUCACACUCACAGGAACACUUCUAUGCAGCACUAAAGUAAUGUAAACUUUCUUCUAGGAGAGAUUGACGGCUUUCUGCUGGAGAUAAGGGUUAAUGGCAGCCUACACUACUGACCCCUCACCCAGAACCUGAAGCAGGCCCCCAGCAGCGCUUUAAAGUGGCCCUGCAGAACAAGAGCCCAGGUGGAAAUGACCAUAGACCUGUUGAAAGCACGUCUUCAGUGCCUACGUCACCUCAGGGAAACACCUGAGAGGUGAUGUGAGAGGAGAUGUGUUGUUCUCCACAUUAUUCCAAUAUUAGAGAGGAGCAACACCCUGCCCUACAAAUACAAGACCCUGAGGAGAAUCCUUCCAUUACAGUAAUCUGCAGAGUGGAUGGACAGAUUUGCUUUAAUGUCUUAAUCAACCAUCACCACCACCACCAAUAAAAUAAAUUGAAUAGA